Molecule: ribosomal RNA, 497 nt
Filed under: uncultured archaeon
Lineage: Archaea
Description: bacterial SSU rRNA
Rfam family: Archaeal small subunit ribosomal RNA
Source: RNAcentral
GAGUGCCAGGAUACAAUCUUGGCUGUCGUAAUGCCUAAAAAGCAUUGCAUAGCAAGGGCCGGGCAAGACCGGUGCCAGCCGCCGCGGUAACACCGGCGGCUCGAGUGGUAACCGCUAUUAUUGGGUCUAAAGGGUCUGUAGCCGGCCGGAUAAGUCUUUUGGGAAAUCUGGCAGCUUAACUGUCAGGCUUUCAGAAGAUACUGUUUCGGCUCGAGGCCGGGAGAGGUGAGAGGUACUUCAGGGGUAGGGGUGAAAUCUUGUAAUCCUUGAAGGACCACCAGUGGCGAAGGCGUCUCACCAGAACGGUCCUGACGGCAAGGGACGAAAGCUAGGGGCACGAACCGGAUUAGAUACCCGGGUAGUCCUAGCCGUAAACGAUACUCGCUAGGUGUCGGCCACGGUGCGACCGUGGUCGGUGCCGUAGGGAAGCCGUGAAGCGAGCCACCUGGGAAGUACGGCCGCAAGGCUGAAACUUAAAGGAAUUGGCGGGGGAGCAC